This 307-nucleotide small nuclear RNA is filed under the name Chinchilla lanigera (long-tailed chinchilla). RNAcentral describes it as "7SK RNA (ENSCLAG00000021799.1)". It matches the Rfam family "7SK RNA". Rfam says of the family: 7SK was discovered as an abundant small nuclear RNA in the mid-70s but a possible function has only recently been suggested. The record is from RNAcentral. Lineage: Eukaryota; Metazoa; Chordata; Mammalia; Rodentia; Chinchillidae.
GGAUGUGAGGGCGAUCUGGCUCCGACAUGACAUCCGUCACCCCAUCGAUCGCCAGCGUUAAUUGAGCUGAUCUGGCUGGCUAGACGAGUGUUCCCUCCCUCCUUCUCCAUUCCAUGUGUGGCCCUCCUAAAGCUGAAAAGCUAGCUGACGCUCAGUGGAAGAGGACAAUAACCUCCAAUCGAAGAGGACCCUGCCUGGGUCCAGGGUAUAGGAGUAGCUGUCCUCCCCUGGUAGAAUUUCAGGAUAAGUUCUCAAGAAAGUCACAGGGCCUAAACAAAUAUCUACAUGAUGGUAUACUUGAAAGUUU